Molecule: long non-coding RNA, 572 nt
Organism: Spinacia oleracea (spinach)
Lineage: Eukaryota; Viridiplantae; Streptophyta; Magnoliopsida; Caryophyllales; Amaranthaceae
Exons: 2
Source: RefSeq, a predicted model, not a curated record
CUAGCUCUUGUAAUUGGUUAGGAUAAUAGAGAGUUGACUUUACACUAAUGUAAUUAGACAUUAUAAAUAGAGAAGUUGUGAAUGAAAAGCAAUCAAACAAUUUUUUUUCAAGUACCUCUCCAAGCAAAAUUAAGCUAAUUAUAAGAGAUUAAAAGAGAUUAAGUGGUUGUUUGAUUAUCGAUCAAAAUGACUUUCCCAAAAAAUGUGAAGCCACUAAUUUUUGUGCUUCUGCUCGUUUUCAUGGCAUCUAAUUUUGCAUCAGGGCAGCAGUGGUGCACCUUACAAGGUUAUCCAUGUGGUCAAGGUUUAGACCCGUGUUGUGACGGACUAUGGUGUAAUGCGGCAGUUAUUGGUACUUGUUGUGGUGGUAGUGCGAUGUGGUGGCCGUUAUGCGAUCGCUAAUUAGUGAAUCAAAUGAUAAAUGGAUGGUGUUGUAUGUUGUAUCGAUUUCUUGUUUUUCUUAUGUUUUGUUGUAUUAUUGUCAUCUGAUAAACACGUACAUUAUGUGUGUAUUUGUACGUGUUUCUAUUUCUUGUUCGUUAUCGAUGUUAAGAGUGAUGGGUUGUUGAUCA